Long non-coding RNA from Mus musculus (house mouse), 518 nucleotides. RefSeq annotates it as predicted gene, 33006. Lineage: Eukaryota; Metazoa; Chordata; Mammalia; Rodentia; Muridae. The record is from RefSeq and is a predicted model, not a curated record. The transcript has 3 exons.
CAUGUCUGAGAGCACCUCAUUUUUCAUUUUCAAAGAUGAUGAGCAUUGAAGAACCCCCAUAUGGAGUCGCUUCAAUCACAGCAAAGAAAAUUGCCUGAGUUCAUCUGCAGGCAGAAUGCUGCCCAAGAAGGACAGACACAAGGAACUCAACUGCCAAGCUCUUCUAAGACAGGAUAAACAGAUAUUAUUAUAGAAAUGCAUCACCUUCCCAACAAACUCAGAGGCUUCCCUCCUGUAUUUUGUGCUCUUGGUCCCGUCUGCUAACAGAAGACGCAAGAGGAGUGCUCGAGAAAGAUACAUUACUGCUGAGCUCCCCCAUGGAUAGUGCCUUAUAGUUGGAUUGCUACAGAAAACUGCUUUCCAGAAAGGAAAUAGUUAAGUGGAGAGGACACUUAGCAAGGGAAUCUCCAGAAGACUACCAAAGACUACUGCAGAUUCUAACCAUUUGUCCUUCUUGGAAAUAAAGAUGCCAGACUAGAGUGGGAGGAGUUCUUAUUUGCUAUUUCCUUCUUUUUUCU